GCGCAGAUCCGGUUCCCGGGUGACCACUCUGUCGCCAUUGGGCGAGACCUACCUAGUCCUGACGACAACGGACAAAGGCCUUAAGGGGCCUGAAAGGGAACAAGAUGUGGAGGUUGAAGACAGUAAUAUUGAUAAUCCUGACCCUGAUUAGGCUGAGCAACCUCCAGUCCUGCAAGCUUCAUUCCUGAAUGGUAGAAAGCAGUCUUCAGCCUGAGACCCAUCCCUAGACUCUAUGGCACAAAGAGGCACUACAGAAAAUCCCAGAAUUUAUUCUGACUGAAGCAAUAUGCAACUGGCAAAACUGGCAGCUGAAAGGAUCCUGAAUAAGAAGGAUUUUAAAUGCCGUUUUGGCACAGGAUGUCAGAGCACAAGCAUGGUGAAGAGGAAUCUGUGUCAGGAAGAAGGUGGAAGAGAUAUGACAUUGGUCAAACAGAGAAUUGAUAAAAUAAGAAAACAAGUUGAAAAACUAAAACAAAACCAGGUGCCAAAUUUCUCAAAGCCAGAGAAUGGAUUAAAAAUAUGGAAUGGAAAUAAACAAGUAUGAAGCCUGAUGAUUAAACUGGAUGUAUCAGUAAUGAAAUCAUGGAAUCUAAAAAAAAUCAAUAUAAAUGUAUGUAUGCAUAUAUGGAGAGAGAGAGACAGAGAAACAGACAGAGGGAGAGGCCAAGCAACUGGUACAAGUGAUACCCUAAUCGCAAUGAGGACACUGAACCCCCAGAUCUUGGUUCUCAAUAACAUGCUCCAUUGAAAAGAAUGAGGCCUGAUUCUGGAGCUGGUGCAGAAAAAUUACAAGAUGAUCCUGGAAUAUAUAUUGUUAAAAAUUAAGACAAUGUUGAAAGGAUAAUAAGGUCAUCCUGAAAGAUUAAAUUGUUGUCAGUUUGAGAAUUUAAAUAAUUAAUGGCAAAAUGGAUUACUACUCAUUGAAUCAAAGAGAAAAACAUGAGCCCAUAUUGUUAUAAAUACGUAAAUGCAUAUAUUGAAAGCUUAAUUAGAAACAUAGUUUCAAAAUAAACUCCCCUAAAAUACC
RNAcentral lists this long non-coding RNA (1027 nucleotides) under Homo sapiens (human). Its description in RNAcentral is "HSALNT0325702". Lineage: Eukaryota; Metazoa; Chordata; Mammalia; Primates; Hominidae. The record is from RNAcentral.